AGCUGCUUUGGGACUACAACUCCCAUCAUCCCUGACCACUGGUCCGGUUAGCUAGGGAUGAUGGGAGUUGUAGUCCCAAAACAGCU
This 86-nucleotide microRNA precursor is filed under the name Podarcis lilfordi (Lilford's wall lizard). Lineage: Eukaryota; Metazoa; Chordata; Lepidosauria; Squamata; Lacertidae. The record is from RNAcentral.